GAUGAACGCUGGCGGCGUGCCUAAUACAUGCAAGUCGAGCGAACAGACGAGGAGCUUGCUCCUUCGACGUUAGCGGCGGACGGGUGAGUAACACGUAGGUAACCUACCUAUAAGACUGGGAUAACUUCGGGAAACCGGAGCUAAUACCGGAUAAUAUUUCGAACCGCAUGGUUCGAUAGUGAAAGAUGGCUUUGCUAUCACUUAUAGAUGGACCUGCGCCGUAUUAGCUAGUUGGUAAGGUAACGGCUUACCAAGGCAACGAUACGUAGCCGACCUGAGAGGGUGAUCGGCCACACUGGAACUGAGACACGGUCCAGACUCCUACGGGAGGCAGCAGUAGGGGAUCUUCCGCAAUGGGCGAAAGCCUGACGGAGCAACGCCGCGUGAGUGAUGAAGGUCUUCGGAUCGUAAAACUCUGUUAUUAGGGAAGAACAAACGUGUAAGUAACUGUGCACGUCUUGACGGUACCUAAUCAGAAAGCCACGGCUAACUACGUG
Molecule: ribosomal RNA, 497 nt
Filed under: uncultured bacterium
Lineage: Bacteria
Description: partial 16S ribosomal RNA
Rfam family: Bacterial small subunit ribosomal RNA
Source: RNAcentral